UUUCCGUAUGUGAACCUGCGGAAGGAUCAUUAACACGUUCCAAAACCUAAUCAACCAACCUGCGAACUAGUAAAGCCUCUCUGCUUAGCUGUAGUUUAUUCUACGCUUGGCAUUGAAGCUGAUCUUCAGUACUAUGGCAUUGUUUGUACUCAGUGCGUUCAAUGCUUAGUAUUGUUGAUCAAACCCUUUUAAACGCCCUUCAUCAGCUGCUGCUUGUCAGUGGUCUGACGAAUCAUAUCAACUCAACUUCUACCUACGCAGGCUGUGUCGAUCAGCUAGCAAUAGCCCGACUACUGCAGGUUGUAUAUAUCUAUAUAAAUAAGAACAACUCUUAGCAAUGGAUAUCUUGGUUCUC
RNAcentral lists this unclassified non-coding RNA (355 nucleotides) under plant metagenome. RNAcentral describes it as "partial contains small subunit ribosomal RNA, internal transcribed spacer 1, and 5.8S ribosomal RNA". The record is from RNAcentral.